AACGAACGCUGGCGGCAUGCCUAACACAUGCAAGUCGAACGAAGGCUUCGGCCUUAGUGGCGCACGGGUGCGUAACGCGUGGGAAUCUGCCCUUGGGUACGGAAUAACAGUGAGAAAUUACUGCUAAUACCGUAUGAUGACGUAAGUCCAAAGAUUUAUCGCCCAGGGAUGAGCCCGCGUAGGAUUAGCUAGUUGGUGGGGUAAAGGCCUACCGAGGCGACGAUCCUUAGCUGGUCUGAGAGGAUGAUCAGCCACACUGGGACUGAGACACGGCGCAGACUCCUACGGGAGGCAGCAGUGGGGAAUAUUGGACAAUGGGCGAAAGCCUGGUCCAGCACUGUCGCGUGAGUGAUGAAGGCCUUAGGGUUGUAAAGCUCUUUUACCGGGGAAGAUAAUGACUGUACCGGGAGAGUAAGCCCCGGCUAACUCCGUGCCAGCCGCCGCGGUAA
RNAcentral lists this ribosomal RNA (449 nucleotides) under uncultured bacterium. Its description in RNAcentral is "partial 16S ribosomal RNA". It matches the Rfam family "Bacterial small subunit ribosomal RNA", at positions 29 to 523 of the family's 1533-position model. The record is from RNAcentral.